Molecule: ribosomal RNA, 500 nt
Filed under: uncultured bacterium
Lineage: Bacteria
Description: bacterial SSU rRNA
Rfam family: Bacterial small subunit ribosomal RNA
Source: RNAcentral
GAUGAACGCUAGCGGCAGGCCUAAUACAUGCAAGUCGAACGAGAUUGUUGUAGCAAUAUAACAUGAAAGUGGCGCACGGGUGCGUAACACGUAUGCAAUCUACCUUUAAUUGGAGCAUAGCCUCGAGAAAUCGGGAUUAAUACUCCAUAACAUAAUUAAGUGGCAUCAUUUGAUUAUCAAACCUCCGGGGAUUAAAGAUGAGCAUGCGCAACAUUAGCUAGUUGGUAAGGUAAUGGCUUACCAAGGCUACGAUGUUUAGGGGGUCUGAGAGGAUGAUCCCCCACACUGGUACUGAGACACGGACCAGACUCCUACGGGAGGCAGCAGUAGGGAAUAUUGGGCAAUGGAGGAAACUCUGACCCAGCCAUGCCGCGUGCAGGAUGACGGCCCUCUGGGUUGUAAACUGCUUUUAUACGGGAAGAAAAAAUACUACGUGUAGUAUACUGACGGUACCGUAAGAAUAAGGAUCGGCUAACUCCGUGCCAGCAGCCGCGGUAAUC